This is a long non-coding RNA of Suricata suricatta (meerkat), 683 nucleotides long. RefSeq lists it as uncharacterized. The transcript is spliced from 2 exons. Lineage: Eukaryota; Metazoa; Chordata; Mammalia; Carnivora; Herpestidae. The record is from RefSeq and is a predicted model, not a curated record.
AUUAGGUGGAUUAAUAUAAUAUCGUGAGAACUUUAUUACUGCCCUUCCUUUCUAAGGUACAGAUUGGCCUUUUCCCAAGUGACCAAAAGUCCUCUGCAGUGCCUUCCAGCAUUCAGAUUUGUUGGAAAAAAGACAAGGAACCCCCCCUAUUUCCGGCUGCACAGUGUCACCUGGGAUUGGGGUAGCAAGGUCCAGCUAGGGGAGCUGUCACCAGCAUCAGCCUCCCAUGGGGGCCUUGGAAGGUGCCCUGGGAACCUACAGACACAGGUGGCACCACCACCUGACCUUCUCCCCGGCAAGAGGAGACAGCGGAGGUGAGGUAAGUCUGCGACCCACCGAUUUCGCAGCACCACCGUCAUCCCUGCCACCAGCGUGCCUCAUCUGGAUGGCCACACAUCUCUCCACAAAGCCACCUGCGGCCCGUGUGCCAGGCCACUCCAUGGCAGCCUGACGGAUCUUAAAACAACGACAGCAGCCACAAUGUUGGUACUAUUGCAGAAGAAUACAUGCUCAGGGUGAAAAUUCAGAGAGCCAAGGAGGAUAGAAGGUGAUAGAAAGUGAAAGACAGACCCCUCCCCCAUCCCCAGACUCCAGGCCUGCUUCCCAGAGCCCGUCGGUUUCAUCUGUAUCCUUCCAAAUUUUUCCACAGCAUAUAAAUGCUUUCACCUAUGUGUGUCUACAUA